This is a non-coding RNA of Deltaproteobacteria bacterium, 119 nucleotides long. Lineage: Bacteria; Pseudomonadati; Myxococcota; Myxococcia. The record is from Rfam.
GAGGGUGGGCCCCUCGGAGCCGCCGUGCAGGCGGAGGCUUCAAACAACCGCGAGCGGCGAGGGCACAACGGCCCUGGUCGUGAGCGUCGCGGAAAAGGCGUGGCCAAGACCACGUCAUG